This is a non-coding RNA of Caenorhabditis elegans, 21 nucleotides long. NCBI's taxonomy places the organism in Eukaryota, Metazoa, Nematoda, Chromadorea, Rhabditida, Rhabditidae. The record is from Ensembl.
UGAGUCGGUCAAUUUAAACAU